AACAAGGCGUACCUGCGGACCUGCGGAGGGAUCAUUAACCUUUCAAAUCAGGGUGCGGCGCGGCCCCCGAGGAGCGGAAACAAUCCUUGGGAGGUAUGCGGGGGCUUCGAGCCCCCCAUUUACGCACGCACGACUGCCAUCCUUACUUUACGAGCACCUUCUGUUCUCCCUCGGCGGGGCAACCUGCCGUUGGAACCGAAUAAACUCUUUUUGCAUCUAGCAUUACCUGUUCCGAAACAA
This 240-nucleotide unclassified non-coding RNA is filed under the name soil metagenome. RNAcentral describes it as "partial contains 5.8S ribosomal RNA, internal transcribed spacer 2, and large subunit ribosomal RNA". The record is from RNAcentral.